GUGUUGGUGGGGGGGGGUAGUGGUGGUGGGGGGGGACCACGUGGGUGGAUGUUGCGUUGCAACGACCUUGCAAUAGAGAGGUUACCUCCCCUCUCUCUCGUUGUUGUUGUUUGUUGUUUGUUGUUGUUUGUUGUUGUUUGUUGUUGUUGACGAAGGGGGUGGGGUGGGCGAUGUUGAUUUUAGGGGGCGGGGCUUACAGCGACUACGUAACCACGGAAACGGGCAGGUGGGUGAGCGUACAAUUGGGUGGGUGAUGGUGGGUGAGUUUACGAGUGAGUGAGCAGGUGAGUAAGUGAGUGGGUGAGUGAGCAGGCGAGGUAGUCAACAUCUCCUGCCACCGUGAUGGUGAUGAAGAUGAGAGAGACGCAGACUCCACAUAGACCUCCUGUAGACCAGGCGAGGUAGUCAACAUCUCCUAGCCACUGUGAUGAUGAUGAUGAGAGACGCAGACUCCACAUAGACCUCCUGUAGACCAGGCGAGGUAGUCAACAUCUCCUAGCCACUGUGAUGAUGAUGAUGAGAGACGCAGACUCCACAUAGACCUCCUGUAGACCAGGCGAGGUGGUCAACAUCUCCUAGCCACCGUGAUGAUGAUGAUGAUGAGAGACGCAGACUCCAAAUACACAGCAGCAGCAGGCGUCGUCAGGAGGCCGUGUGUGGUGGGGUGAGCGCGUGUGGGUGCCCGUGUGUGUGCGUGGGUGUGUGGGUGUGUGGGUGCCCGUGUGUGUGCGUGGGUGUGUGGAUGUGUGGGUGGAUGUGGGUGUGCGUGUGGGUGUCCGUGGGUGUGCGGGUGUGUGGGUGUGUGUGUGUGUGUCCUCUCUGCCUCGUGGUGGAACGUUGGCCAGUGGCGGAGACUCACCCACCACUCACCCACCACUCACCCACCCACCACUUACCCACCUACUCACCCACCUACCCACCCACCUACUCACCCAC
Lethenteron reissneri (Far Eastern brook lamprey) is the source of this 936-nucleotide long non-coding RNA. RefSeq lists it as uncharacterized. The record is from RefSeq and is a predicted model, not a curated record. NCBI's taxonomy places the organism in Eukaryota, Metazoa, Chordata, Hyperoartia, Petromyzontiformes, Petromyzontidae.